GUGCCAGCCGCCGCGGUAAUACAGAGGGUGCAAGCGUUGUUCGGAAUUACUGGGCGUAAAGCGCGUGUAGGCGGCUUGUUAAGUCUCGUGUGAAAGCCCUGAGCUCAACUCAGGAAGUGCGCGAGAUACUGGCGAGCUGGAGUGACGGAGAGGAUGGCGGAAUACCCGGUGUAGAGGUGAAAUUCGUAGAUAUCGGGUGGAACACCUGUGGCGAAGGCGGCCAUCUGGACGUCAACUGACGCUGAGACGCGAAAGCGUGGGGAGCAAACAGGAUUAGAAACCCGUGUAGUCC
This 292-nucleotide ribosomal RNA is filed under the name uncultured bacterium. RNAcentral describes it as "partial 16S ribosomal RNA". It matches the Rfam family "Bacterial small subunit ribosomal RNA", at positions 505 to 796 of the family's 1533-position model. The record is from RNAcentral.